UGUCCAUGUUUAGUUGCUUCAUUUUAUUUUAUGCUUUUCCUUCCAUUUCUUCUUUUUAUGUCAAGACCACAAAAGUGAAUAAAAAACUCUAUUAGAGACCAAUCAUUUUAACAAAAAAAAAAAAAAGCACCCUUCUGAAAAUCAAAAUACUAAUCAUGUCAUUGUCGGAGAACGACAUGAUCAAGGUCACUGUUGAAGAAUUACAAGGUCAUAAUAACUAGACUGGCUUGUACUUAUUUGGAGGCAUUGGAC
Molecule: long non-coding RNA, 252 nt
Filed under: Prunus persica (peach)
Lineage: Eukaryota; Viridiplantae; Streptophyta; Magnoliopsida; Rosales; Rosaceae
Description: long non-coding RNA (PPER_LNC004255)
Source: RNAcentral